Molecule: small nucleolar RNA, 136 nt
Filed under: Carlito syrichta (Philippine tarsier)
Lineage: Eukaryota; Metazoa; Chordata; Mammalia; Primates; Tarsiidae
Description: U8 small nucleolar RNA (ENSTSYG00000031104.1)
Rfam family: U8 small nucleolar RNA
About the family: U8 is a member of the C/D class of snoRNA which contain the C (UGAUGA) and D (CUGA) box motifs. U8 is the RNA component of a small complex (the U8 snoRNP) which is required for accumulation of mature large subunit ribosomal RNAs, 5.8S and 28S rRNAs.
Source: Rfam by way of RNAcentral
UCACCAGGUGGGAUAAUCCUUACUUGUUCCUCUUUUUGGAGGACAGAUUAGAGCAUAAUGAUAGGAGUUCUCAUGAAAUGUGAUUAACGUCUCUGCAUAAUCAGGACUUGCAACAUCCUAAUUGCUCCUAUCUGAU